AUUGAACGCUGGCGGCAGGCCUAACACAUGCAAGUCGAGCGGAUGAAGGGAGCUUGCUCCUGGAUUCAGCGGCGGACGGGUGAGUAAUGCCUAGGAAUCUGCCUGGUAGUGGGGGAUAGCGUCCGGAAACGGGCGCUAAUACCGCAUACGUCCUGAGGGAGAAAGUGGGGGAUCUUCGGACCUCACGCUAUCAGAUGAGCCUAGGUCGGAUUAGCUAGUUGGUGGGGUAAAGGCCUACCAAGGCGACGAUCCGUAACUGGUCUGAGAGGAUGAUCAGUCACACUGGAACUGAGACACGGUCCAGACCCCUACGGGAGGCAGCAGUGGGGAAUAUUGGACAAUGGGCGAAAUCCUGAUCCAGCCAUGCCGCGUGUGUGAAGAAGGUCUUCGGAUUUUAAAGCACUUUAAGUUGGGAGGAAGGGCAGUAAGUUAAUACCUUGCUGUUUUGACGUUACCAACAGAAUAAGCACCGGCUAACUUCGUG
RNAcentral lists this ribosomal RNA (484 nucleotides) under uncultured bacterium. RNAcentral describes it as "partial 16S ribosomal RNA". It matches the Rfam family "Bacterial small subunit ribosomal RNA", at positions 30 to 507 of the family's 1533-position model. The record is from RNAcentral.